GGGGUUGUACUGGCUUCGACAGCGUAGAUCUUUGAACGUGUAAGCAUGUAGUGCGUUGGAUAAUUAGCACUUUAAUCUGAAUAUUCAAACUUCAAAUGGCAAUACUCAGUAUGCCAUGGCUGCCUAAUCAGUGAUUAAGUAGUCAUUAGGGCCGCUUGAGCAGGUUGGUCUGUUACCAUGCUCCGCCGCCGACUAAAAAGCAAAUACAGGCUGCUGCAACGAAAGGCUGUGACCGUUGCCUAAGACCAUCCAGCUAAGGAAAGAAUCGGUUUGUUGGUUUCCUGUUCUUUCCCGACAAAUAAUAAUCAAAUAAACAUGUAGAAAGCGUUUGGAGGAUAUGUUUGGACGGGGGUUCGACUCCCCCCAACUCCACUA
Molecule: transfer-messenger RNA, 375 nt
Filed under: Flavihumibacter petaseus
Lineage: Bacteria; Pseudomonadati; Bacteroidota; Chitinophagia; Chitinophagales; Chitinophagaceae
Also listed under: 1 other name
Description: Standard tmRNA
Rfam family: transfer-messenger RNA
About the family: Bacterial tmRNA, also known as 10Sa RNA or SsrA, is named for its dual tRNA and mRNA-like properties.
Source: RNAcentral